RNAcentral lists this ribosomal RNA (402 nucleotides) under uncultured bacterium. RNAcentral's name for it is "partial 16S ribosomal RNA". It matches the Rfam family "Bacterial small subunit ribosomal RNA", at positions 338 to 755 of the family's 1533-position model. The record is from RNAcentral.
CCUACGGGUGGCAGCAGUGGGGGAUAUUGCACAAUGGGGGAAACCCUGAUGCAGCGACGCCGCGUGGGCGAAGAAGUAUUUCGGUAUGUAAAGCCCUAUCAGCAGGGAAGAAGAAAUGACGGGACCUGAGUAAGAAGCACAGGCUAAAGACGUGCCAGCAGCCGCGGUAAUACGUCGGGUGCAAGCGGUAUCCGGAUUUACGGGGUGGAAAGGGAGCGCAGGCGGCCCGGCAAGCCUGAUGUGAAAGCCCGCGGCCCAACCGCGGGACUGCCUUGGGAACUACCGGGCUGGAGUGCCGGAGAGGUAGGCGGCAUUCCUUGUGUAGCGGUGACCUGCGUAGAUAUUCGGAGGCACACCAGUGGCGAAGGCGGCCUACUGGACGGUGCCUGACGCUGAGGCUCG